CCUACGGGAGGCAGCAGUGGGGAAUAUUGGACAAUGGGCGAAAGCCUGAUCCAGCCAUGCCGCGUGUGUGAAGGAGGCCUUCGGGUUGUAAAGCACUUUCAGUGGGGAAGAAAGCCUUGGGGCUAAUACCCUCGAGGAAGGACAUCACCCACAGAAGAAGCACCGGCUAACUCCGUGCCAGCAGCCGCGGUAAUACGGAGGGUGCGAGCGUUAAUCGGAAUUACUGGGCGUAAAGCGCGCGUAGGCGGUCUGAUAAGCCGGUUGUGAAAGCCCCGGGCUCAACCUGGGAACGGCAUCCGGAACUGUCAGGCUAGAGUGCAGGAGAGGAAGGUAGAAUUCCCGGUGUAGCGGUGAAAUGCGUAGAGAUCGGGAGGAAUACCAGUGGCGAAGGCGGCCUUCUGGACUGACACUGACGCUGAGGUGCGAAAGCGUGGGUAGCAAACAGGAUUAGAUACCCGAGUAGUC
Molecule: ribosomal RNA, 465 nt
Filed under: Vreelandella stevensii
Lineage: Bacteria; Pseudomonadati; Pseudomonadota; Gammaproteobacteria; Oceanospirillales; Halomonadaceae
Description: partial 16S ribosomal RNA
Rfam family: Bacterial small subunit ribosomal RNA
Source: RNAcentral